This 67-nucleotide transfer RNA is filed under the name Diapriidae sp. ZJUH_2016010. Its description in RNAcentral is "tRNA-Asp". Lineage: Eukaryota; Metazoa; Arthropoda; Insecta; Hymenoptera; Diapriidae. The record is from RNAcentral.
UAAAAAUUAGUUAAAUAUUAUAACAUUAAAUUGUCAAAUUAAAAUUAUUAAAAUAUAAUAUUUUUAU